This 589-nucleotide ribosomal RNA is filed under the name uncultured stramenopile. RNAcentral describes it as "bacterial SSU rRNA". It matches the Rfam family "Bacterial small subunit ribosomal RNA", at positions 24 to 655 of the family's 1533-position model. The record is from RNAcentral.
UCAGGAUGAACGCUGGCGGUAUGCUUUAUACAUGCAAGUCGUACGAGAGUUUUUAACUCAAGUGGCGGACGGGUGAGAAACACGUAAGAAUUUGCCUUUAGGAGGGGGAUAACAACUGGAAACGGUUGCUAAUACCCCAUAUGCUUUUGAGUGAAAUGGAUUUUUCCGCCUAAAGAGAAGCUUGCGGCUGAUUAGCUUGUUGGUAAGGUAAUGGCUUACCAAGGCGACGAUCAGUAUCUGGUUUGAGAGGACGAUCAGACACACUGGAACUGAGACACGGUCCAGACUCCUACGGGAGGCAGCAGUAGGGAAUUUUCCGCAAUGGGCGAAAGCCUGACGGAGCAAUACCGCGUGAGGGAUGACGGCCUAUGGGUUGUAAACCUCUUUUUUCAGGGAGGAACAAAAUGACGUGUACCUGAAGAAUAAGCAUCGGCUAACUCCGUGCCAGCAGCCGCGGUAAGACGGAGGAUGCAAGUGUUAUCCGGAAUCACUGGGCGUAAAGCGUCUGUAGGUGGUCAAAUAAGUCACUGUUAAAUCUUGAGGCUCACCUCGAAAUCGCAGUCGAACUAUUCGACUAGAGUAUAGUAGG